Molecule: ribosomal RNA, 490 nt
Filed under: uncultured bacterium
Lineage: Bacteria
Description: partial 16S ribosomal RNA
Rfam family: Bacterial small subunit ribosomal RNA
Source: RNAcentral
AUUGAACGCUGGCGGCAGGCCUAACACAUGCAAGUCGAACGGUAACAGGAAGAAGCUUGCUUCUUUGCUGACGAGUGGCGGACGGGUGAGUAAUGUCUGGGAAACUGCCUGAUGGAGGGGGAUAACUACUGGAAACGGUAGCUAAUACCGCAUAACGUCGCAAGACCAAAGAGGGGGACCUUCGGGCCUCUUGUCAUCGGAUGUGCCCAGAUGGGAUUAGCUAGUAGGUGGGGUAACGGCUCACCUAGGCGACGAUCCCUAGCUGGUCUGAGAGGAUGACCAGCCACACUGGAACUGAGACACGGUCCAGACUCCUACGGGAGGCAGCAGUGGGGAAUAUUACACAAUGGGCGCAAGCCUGAUGCAGCCAUGCCGCGUGUAUGAAGAAGGCCUUCGGGUUGUAAAGUACUUUCAGCGGGGAGGAAGGGAGUAAAGUUAAUACCUUUGCUCAUUGACGUUACCCGCAGAAGAAGCACCGGCUAACUCCGUG